UUUCUUCCGGGGGUGUCUCAUCCUGAGGAACAGCGUUAAGGGCUGCCACAGACUCUCCCACCAAAGCAGAGACGAGCGCUGAUAUUGCUGGUUGGGCUCCUGGCUCCAGCUGUGAGUUAUUUACAGCAGAGUUGGGAGAUGCAGAGAGAAGUUCCUCGCGAACAUCAUCAGGACUCUGCCACCCAGCCACGGCCAGCUCCACCCUAACUGGUAUCCAGAUGAUAUGAUGCUCAGACCUGGGCCUCCCAGCAGAGCUGAGAAUAACACUGGAGGCCUGAGUUAGAAAUGCAGCCUUCGAUGUUCAGGACGGGAUUAUUAUUAACUACGGUCAUCCUGCUGUGGAUUCACUUUCUGGACUUCUUUCGGGUGCUUCCAGCAUAAGAAAUCGCCGGUAGAAGGACUUGCUGACAGACUCAUUCGCACUGGUGAGGGGAGGAAUCUGUAUAAACUUGCAUGACCGAGCAUUUCCAUCACAGGAAGAGAAUCCUGAAAGCAUGAUCCCUUCCAGUUCCAUCUUUGCUGCCAACUAUGGCUGUUCAACAGUAUCCCCUUCUCCACUGGAUGGUUCUCAGAGAGCACCAGGAUGAGAAAACAAGAUUCCUACUCCUCCAACAAGCCCACAUCAGCCCACUGGUUUUCCCAAGUUAUCGCAAGAGAUGGGGAUGACCACAGACGCAACACAUCCUGCGUUUUAGACUAGAAAAGAUCUUCAGAGGUUGUACUGGCUACACAUGGGGCCCUACAACAUAUACCAAGUAAUUUCGUUCUACUGGACAGGGUGGCACAAAGACCCCGAAGUUCCAGAAUCACAAGAACUAUCCAGUUCUCCCAUCAUCAAACCCAAGAUGUUGGCACUGUGUCCUUAACCCUUAUCUCACCCUCUUUCAAAGGCCAGGCCUUUCCCCCUGCCCAAGCCUACCAUCUGGUUAACCAAAGGAAAGACUGUGUCUGCAUAAGGAUAGGACAAACCAAAAGAAGCAAGAAGCAGGUUGCUUCAGCAGAGACCGGUUAAGGGAGUACCACUCACAACGGAAGUUGGCAUCCAUGCAUUUCCGUCCCCAGGACAAGCCACAACAAGGCCUCAGUGGAUGCUCUCAGACCUUGGGGAGGGAUUAUUACCAAAGACCAACAGGUGGCAAAAAGCUCCCAGGAAGGGUGAGCUUUUCUAGAAGAGCAACAUCUUACAUGGCUUUCACUGAAACGAAGCUGUGAGGAACUUUCCAAAGCUUCACCCUUUGUAACCACAUAACCUACUCACAGAUGCUUACAGCAUUCUUUAUCAAGGAAAGAUGCUGGCAGGGAAAACCUGGGGCCUCUGGGGAAGUCUGUAGCUAGAAGGAGUUCUUUUAGGAUGUGGCUUCUUUGGCCAGAUCCUUCUCGAUGGGUUGAAGUGCAUCAGCCAACGGUACACACAGCCCUCUCCAACCACCAGCAAACACAGCUCAGGCACACUGGGAUGUUUCUCCACUCACCAGGACUGGCCGCAUCUCGCAGAAAACCAGGAGGGAAGCCAGCUCAACAUCUUCACUGUACCCAUUCUUCAGAGGGACUGACCUAAACCCUGUAGCAGAUGGAAAAACAACAGAGACAGGAGAUAAAUGUCAGGCCUCAGCUUUCUCACGUGAGCCAGGUCAAGGAGCACAGAGCCUGAGCUUGUGGGACAUGUAAUCCCUGAACAGCGCACAUGAGGAUGCACAUCGGUCCUGGAAUACUCGGGUGACAGUCUGGGUCCAAGAGGAGGAUUUGGGGGCACUUCUCUAGAGAAGCUUCCUGACCCGGUGCUCCCCUUACAGGUGAUGUGAUCUGUGUUGUUGGUCUGGUUGCUGUUGGCUUUUGCCUGGAUACCCUCUCAACUCUUGUGGGCUAGCCUAGUGCUUCUCCUGUUUGUUUGUUUUUUUAAGAUUGAUUUAUUUAUGCAUACAAGAGCUGGGGUGCAGGCCAGAGAUGCAGGGGAGUGAGAGGAUCCACCAGAGACAGAGUGGGGAACAGAACAGGCAGACUGACGAAAUACACUGUUGAGGGGAGCAGCGGGAGAGACAGGAGAGGUCUGCUGCACCAUGUGGGUUGCUCCCUGGCAGGCCGGGGAUCAAACUCGUGCUGCCAAGGCUGCAGAUUGUGUCAUAGUGUGGUGCUUAACCCCUUGUGCCACCAGGGAGGCCCACUUCUCCCGUUUUAGUGUAGAUGGGAACAACUGGUGGCUCUUACUAAAAUGCAGGUUGCACCUGGCUGGCUGGCUGGGGACCACCUGAGAUCUCAUCUGUGGAGAAGCAGUCAGUCUGGGUAUCAACUGACCAUUAGAAUGUGUUGGGAUGUGGGAGCCCUUUGGGGAGGGCCAGGUAGCCCUCUGGCACUUGGUUCUGAGCCGAGAGGGAACUCUGGCAUAUAACUCCAGACCUCGAGACUUGAGUUCCGUCUCAAGUCCAUGACCACUCCAGCUCCACGUACCCUCCUUGCUGCCCACAUCUCAUUUUUCUCAAGUCUUUGUGUAUAUUGGGAUUCAGAACUAGAGUGUG
Talpa occidentalis (Iberian mole) is the source of this 2513-nucleotide long non-coding RNA. RefSeq lists it as uncharacterized. The record is from RefSeq and is a predicted model, not a curated record. NCBI's taxonomy places the organism in Eukaryota, Metazoa, Chordata, Mammalia, Eulipotyphla, Talpidae. The transcript has 5 exons.